Molecule: long non-coding RNA, 395 nt
Organism: Helianthus annuus (common sunflower)
Lineage: Eukaryota; Viridiplantae; Streptophyta; Magnoliopsida; Asterales; Asteraceae
Exons: 3
Source: RefSeq, a predicted model, not a curated record
GGUUCCCUUCCAAGAACCCUAACUCACAAAAUUGCCAAAAUCAAGAGAAAUCAAGCCAAGAAUUUGGGGCUUUUAAUAAAAUCGUGAUCACCAAGCUUAGGGGAUCACAAGUUUGACGCGUAACAAGCUAGGUGGAAGCUUGAUGAGGGAGCGGGUCAAACGAAUCACAAAUGAAAGGAAAAGCGUAGUUCGGAUGCGAGAUAUAUACCAAGUGUUCUCGGAUGAAGAUCAAGCACUAGGAAGGACCGAACACGAUCAAUGAAAUAAGCUUCCGCAUGACGUUUCGUCGUUACUUUUAAAUGACGAACUUAAUUACAUUUUGUUGUAAUACUUUCAAAUUGUAAAAGUUUUAAUUCACCCGUAUUAUUCGGCAGUAUUUACACAUAAUUUCUUAA